GCCUCAGUGGUGUAGGGGUAGAGCACGCAUCACCGGAAAGGAUGAAACGCGGGUUCGAUUCCCGCCUGAGGCC
Molecule: non-coding RNA, 73 nt
Organism: Parelaphostrongylus tenuis
Lineage: Eukaryota; Metazoa; Nematoda; Chromadorea; Rhabditida; Metastrongylidae
Source: the annotation of a GenBank genome assembly